AAUAUUGCGCAAUGGGGGGAACCCUGACGCAGCGACGCCGCGUGAGCGAAGAAGGCCUUCGGGUCGUAAAGCUCUGUCCUCAGGGAAGAAGGAGGUGACGGUACCUGAGGAGGAAGCCCCGGCUAACUACGUGCCAGCAGCCGCGGUAAUACGUAGGGGGCGAGCGUUGUCCGGAAUUACUGGGCGUAAAGGGUGCGUAGGCGACUACUUAAGUCAGAUGUGAAAGACCAGGGCUUAACCUUGGGGCUGCAUUUGAAACUGGGUGGCUUGAGUAUCGGAGAGGGCAGUGGAAUUCCCGGUGUAGCGGUGAAAUGCGUAGAGAUUAGGAGGAACACCAGUGGCGAAGGCGACUUUCUGGACUGUAACUGACGCUGAGGUACGAAAGCGUGGGUAGCGAACA
Molecule: ribosomal RNA, 400 nt
Filed under: uncultured bacterium
Lineage: Bacteria
Description: partial 16S ribosomal RNA
Rfam family: Bacterial small subunit ribosomal RNA
Source: RNAcentral